CCAAUAGCGUAUAUUAAAGUUGUUGCAGUUAAAAAGCUCGUAGUUGAAUUUCGGGAUUGACACAUCGGUCGUGCCUUAAGGGGUAUGAACUGGUGUAGUCAAUUUCUCACCUUCUGGAGAACCGCGAUGCCCUUAAUUGGGUGUCGCGGGGAACCAGGACCUUUACUUUGAAAAAAUUAGAGUGUUUAAAGCAGGCAUUU
Molecule: ribosomal RNA, 200 nt
Filed under: uncultured Glomus
Lineage: Eukaryota; Fungi; Glomeromycota; Glomeromycetes; Glomerales; Glomeraceae
Also listed under: 1 other name
Description: partial small subunit ribosomal RNA
Rfam family: Eukaryotic small subunit ribosomal RNA
Source: RNAcentral